RNAcentral lists this unclassified non-coding RNA (731 nucleotides) under Bradyrhizobium sp. Its description in RNAcentral is "partial contains 16S-23S ribosomal RNA intergenic spacer and 23S ribosomal RNA". The stretch from base 609 to 731 matches the Rfam family "Bacterial large subunit ribosomal RNA", at positions 1 to 122 of the family's 2925-position model. The record is from RNAcentral. Lineage: Bacteria; Pseudomonadati; Pseudomonadota; Alphaproteobacteria; Hyphomicrobiales; Nitrobacteraceae.
UCGGAAGUUCAAGUCUUCCCAGGCCCACCACUUUCCGGCGUCGUCGCUUCGGCUGGGCAAGUCGAUCGUCUCGACGAUCUCUUAGCUUUGCAUUCGUCUUUCCGGUUAUGGGGCCUUAGCUCAGCUGGGAGAGCGCGUGCUUUGCAAGCAUGAGGUCGUCGGUUCGAUCCCGACAGGCUCCACCAGCCUUUGCGCCGAAAGGCGCUUCGGCGUGGCCAUGCCGAUCGACGAACCAUUCGUCCGCGAAACAUCACUUUGCACACGCUGCUCAUUGAGCGCGUGAUGCGGGUUAUUCGACAUCGUGAAGAGGAGAUCGAUCCGAGUUGGGGUCGUGCAAUGGAGCGCCACCGCGCAAGCGGUCCGCGUUUCGACUAUGCACCGACGCCUUCACUAUCUCCGGGUCAUUUCGGCGCAAGGUUCGAGCUGUGAAGCUUGCUCCUUGUUGUAAAUGACCCUGUUAGCUGCGCUUGACCGCACGGCUAUCGGUUCGAUCUUACGAAGCAAGCUGGUCUUUCUAAUCAAUGUCCGGCUGCCUUUGACGCUUGUCCUUCGGGGCAGGUGAGGGCGGCCAACAUUCUGCCGAGUGUGUGGACAUUGAUAAUGAGAGCAAUCAAGUGCCUUAAGGGUGUUCGGUGGAUGCCUUGGCGCUGAGAGGCGAUGAAGGACGUGCUACGCUGCGAUAAGCCGUGGGGAGCUGCGAAGAAGCUUUGAUCCGCGGAUUUCCGAAUGGG